GAAACUCCCUGGUACCAAUAAUGUUCUUCACCACAUGUACCAUCGUGUAUGUGCUCAUCAGUGAUAUCUCAUCUGUUUCAGCUGUGUGCUCCAACGGUACAUACGGACCAGACUGUAAAUACGACUGUCAAUGUAAUACUAGUGUGACCUGUGACCCUCAGAAUGGUUGUGGAGGGAACUGCGCUGCAGGUUGGGACGGACCCACGUGUCAAAGGCGAAAUGUCGCUCUGGGGAAAAAAACAUUUCAAUCGUCAAACUUCAACGGACAUAAAUCUGAGCUGGCUGUUGACGGUAUACUGGGACAUUCAAACGUGGGUACACCUUGUACGCACACAAGGAGGACACCAAGUCCAGCUUCCUGGAGAGUAACACUUGACGCCGUGUACUGGAUUAACAACUUCACCAUAUA
This is a long non-coding RNA of Liolophura sinensis, 409 nucleotides long. RefSeq lists it as uncharacterized. Lineage: Eukaryota; Metazoa; Mollusca; Polyplacophora; Chitonida; Chitonidae. The record is from RefSeq and is a predicted model, not a curated record. The transcript is spliced from 3 exons.